RNAcentral lists this ribosomal RNA (774 nucleotides) under uncultured Neocallimastigales. RNAcentral describes it as "partial large subunit ribosomal RNA". It matches the Rfam family "Eukaryotic large subunit ribosomal RNA", at positions 24 to 640 of the family's 3401-position model. Lineage: Eukaryota; Fungi; Neocallimastigomycota; Neocallimastigomycetes; Neocallimastigales. The record is from RNAcentral.
UAUGUGAUCGUUUCUCGCAUAUCAAUAAGCGGAGGAAAAGAAACUAACAAGGAUUCCCCUAGUAACGGCGAGUGAAGCGGGAAGAGCUCAAAUUUGAAAUCUUAAAGGGUUUCCCUUUACGAAUUGUAGUUUAAAGAAGUGUUUUCUGUUGAGGUUUUGGUAAAAGUUCUUUGGAAUAGGACAUCAUAGAGGGUGAGAAUCCCGUAUUUGACCUUUACUUUCAACUUUGUGAUACACUUUCAAAGAGUCGGAUUGUUUGGGAAUGCAGUCCAAAAUGGGUGGUAAAUUUCAUCUAAAGCUAAAUAUUGGCGAGAGACCGAUAGCGAACAAGUACCGUGAGGGAAAGAUGAAAAGAACUUUGAAAAGAGAGUUAAACAGUACGUGAAAUUGUCAAAAGGGAAGCGUUUGACACCAGUGUUGUUUUUCUGAAAAUCAAUUAAAGAACUGUUUAUGCUAAGCUGUUUAGACUUUAUCAGCUAACUGUUUAGUUUUGAGCUUUUCUUUAAUGCACUUUUCAGUUAACAAGUCAACAUCAAUUUCUUUUGCUGUAAAAAAGCUUGAGGAAGGUGGCUUGAGAUUCGUCUUAAGUGUUUAUAGCCUCUUGCCUAUGCAGUCGGAGAGAUUGAGGUCUGCAGCGUAGAUCCUUCGGGGCUAAAUGCAUUUGUGCUAAGUUAUAGCAUUUUAUAGACAACUUGUUGACUAUGAUUUGUCUUGUAGCUUACUCGCUUAUGUUAUUUUACCUACGCUUAGGAUGUUGAUAUGCAUGACUGAUAU